GGGCGUAAAGGGCUCGUAGGUGGUUGAUCGCGUCGGAAGUGUAAUCUUGGGGCUUAACCCUGAGCGUGCUUUCGAUACGGGUUGACUUGAGGAAGGUAGGGGAGAAUGGAAUUCCUGGUGGAGCGGUGGAAUGCGCAGAUAUCAGGAGGAACACCAGUGGCGAAGGCGGUUCUCUGGGCCUUUCCUGACGCUGAGGAGCGAAAGCGUGGGGAGCGAACAGGCUUAGAUACCCUGUAGUCCACGCUGUAAACGGUGGGUACUAGGUGUGGGGUCCAUUCCACGGGUUCCGUGCCGUAGCUAACGCUUUAAGUACCCCGCCUGGGGAGUACGGCCGCAAGGCUAAAACUCAAAGGAAUUGACGGGGCCCCGCACAAGCGGCGGAGCAUGCGGAUUAAUUCGAUGCAACGCGUAGAACCUUACCUGGGUUUGACAUGGAUCGGGAGUGCUCAGAGAUGGGUGUGCCUCUUUUGGGGUCGGUUCACAGGUGGUGCAUGGCUGUCGUCAGCUCGUGUCGUGAGAUGUUGGGUUAAGUCCCGCAACGAGCGCAACCCUUGUUCACUGUUGCCAGCACGUUAUGGUGGGGACUCAGUGGAGACCGCCGGGGUCAACUCGGAGGAAGGU
RNAcentral lists this ribosomal RNA (621 nucleotides) under uncultured Actinomycetes bacterium. RNAcentral describes it as "bacterial SSU rRNA". It matches the Rfam family "Bacterial small subunit ribosomal RNA", at positions 556 to 1174 of the family's 1533-position model. The record is from RNAcentral. Lineage: Bacteria; Bacillati; Actinomycetota; Actinomycetes.